Molecule: small RNA, 569 nt
Filed under: Rattus norvegicus (Norway rat)
Lineage: Eukaryota; Metazoa; Chordata; Mammalia; Rodentia; Muridae
Description: uncharacterized LOC103694562
Source: RNAcentral
CAAGCAGUUCAGCCGGCUAUCAUAAGGCAGAGAACGAGCUAUUAGGUUCUUUUCAAAGACUAUUCUAAGUUUUUUUGUUACAACCGCUGUAACCAGAUUCUAAAUUAGUAAACGUAACAGAAAACUGCCAUGAACCUUGAAUUCAUAUUUCUUGGCAGCAUUGUGCUUGCAACCAUUUUUGUAUUCCUGAAGAUUUUACUAGAGGAUACUUUGCCAUAAAGAUAACAGACAUUGCUGGAGAAUACCGCUGAAGUUCUCUAGAUAACACUAUAUGAAUGGCCACCAAAGUUAACAUCUCGUAUAGCUGUAAGGACAACACCUUCUAUGUAAAACAAGAACGAUGCUGUGACUCUUCUGGUGAACAAUUUCAAUCAUAUUAUGGUGACUACAUCCCAUAUUCAAUACCCAUGUUCAGGCAAAUUGUAGUUCAUCUGGACAUCGUAGAAUGAUUACUGGCUCGAAUAAAGAAAAAUAAAGUCCUAUCUGUGAGAAACCCAUUAUUCCACUUAAAUGCUAAGCAGAUACAUACUAUGUAUGUCAAAAUAGACACAGUGUAACCAGUCAAUAAA